UACGUAGGGGGCGAGCGUUGUCCGGAAUCAUUGGGCGUAAAGCGCGUGUAGGCGGCCCGGUAAGUCCGCUGUGAAAGUCCAGGGCUCAACCCUGGGAUGCCGGUGGAUACUGUCGGGCUCGAGUCCGGAAGAGGCGAGUGGAAUUCCUGGUGUAGCGGUGAAAUGCGCAGAUACCAGGAGGAACACCAAUGGCGAAGGCAGCUCGCUGGGACGUGACUGACGCUGAGACGCGAAAGCGUGGGGAGCAAACAGG
RNAcentral lists this ribosomal RNA (253 nucleotides) under uncultured bacterium. RNAcentral's name for it is "partial 16S ribosomal RNA". It matches the Rfam family "Bacterial small subunit ribosomal RNA", at positions 524 to 776 of the family's 1533-position model. The record is from RNAcentral.